Molecule: ribosomal RNA, 472 nt
Filed under: uncultured bacterium
Lineage: Bacteria
Description: partial 16S ribosomal RNA
Rfam family: Bacterial small subunit ribosomal RNA
Source: RNAcentral
GACGAACGCUGGCGGCGUGCUUAACACAUGCAAGUCGAACGCUGAAGCUUGGUGCUUGCACUGGGUGGCUGAGUGGCGAACGGGUGAGUAAUACGUGAGUAACCUGCCCUUGACUCUGGGAUAAGCCUGGGAAACUGGGUCUAAUACUGGAUACGACAUGUCACCGCAUGCUGGUGUGUGGAAAGGGUUUUACUGGUUUUGGAUGGGCUCACGGCCUAUCAGCUUGUUGGUGGGGUAAUGGCUCACCAAGGCGACGACGGGUAGCCGGCCUGAGAGGGUGACCGGCCACACUGGGACUGAGACACGGCCCAGACUCCUACGGGAGGCAGCAGUGGGGAAUAUUGCACAAUGGGCGGAAGCCUGAUGCAGCGACGCCGCGUGAGGGAUGACGGCCUUCGGGUUGUAAACCUCUUUCAGCACGGAAGAAGCGAAAGUGACGGUACGUGCAGAAGAAGCGCCGGCUAACUACGUG